Molecule: transfer RNA, 69 nt
Filed under: Dendropsophus werneri
Lineage: Eukaryota; Metazoa; Chordata; Amphibia; Anura; Hylidae
Description: tRNA-Val
Rfam family: tRNA
About the family: Transfer RNA (tRNA) molecules are approximately 80 nucleotides in length. Their secondary structure includes four short double-helical elements and three loops (D, anti-codon, and T loops).
Source: RNAcentral
CAACAUGUAGCUUAACUAAAGCAUCUCGCUUACACCGAGAAGAUAUCUGUGGAACCCAGAUCAUUUUGA